UUCUGUUUCUCCCUAGUCCACGUAUUGGUUUCAAGCCCCAUUGCUGUGUCAGAGAAGCCUAAGGAAGAAAAGGGUUGUUUUAACUCACCGUUUGGGGGUACAGUCCUUAAUGGUGGGGAAAUGACGGCAGCUGUCAUAUCGCAUUUGCAGUCAGCAGGCCAAGGCGGUAUGUGUUGCUGGCCAGCCCACUUUCUCCUCGGCUACUACUUUCCCUUCUGCAUUCCUCUUCAGAAGGUUUUUACAAGCAAAAGCGAGCAAGCAAACAACAGAGUCUACAAUUGAUGAGCCCCUUCAUAUCACCGAACACCCAGUGCAUGGCAGUUGGAGCAGCUACCAGACCUCAUCAGAGAAGUGUCUUCUGACACCAUAUGGCGAUUAAUGCAAAAACUUGUAUCUGGUUAAAGUACAGAAAAUAAGGGUCAGUGGAGUGCUCGGCUAUAAAUGAACCAUCCACAUCACAUCCCUCUCCCAAGACUCAGAACCACAGAAGAAGAAAAGGUAGAAAGAUGAUACGAGUCAGAUAUCUGAGAAGACCAGAGCAAAACUGUCUUCUGCACGUAACAGGACUCUUUCAUGUCACUCCUUGGCUUCUGCUAGGUUUCUACCAUUUAAAGACAAAAAUUCAAGGUUUUCAGUAUGGUCUUUAGGAUCCUUUAACAUUCUGUCCCCAGACUACCUCUGCUUUAUAUCUGACUUCCUACUCACUAUACACAAAAUUUAUUCCUUGGCCCACAAUCAAAUUUCUCACUGUCUUCAGACAUUCUAUGCCCUGCCCUAGCUUUGUGCCUCUAUUUAAGUCAGCUUUAUUAAGGCAACCUGCUAUAACAACCAUCCUCACUUCCUGUGGGGCUUAAACAUAUGGGGUUAGUUCCUGCUGUAUUAAUUAUACAUUUUUUUGCAGGCGUUCCUUAGCUCUAUUUCAGAGUCUUGAUUCUGGUAGCAAAAAUGAGCCACCCCUUUCUGACAUGGAUUUCUCCCAUAGAAAGGAAACAGAAACAUUGGAAUGUCUUGACAGAGUUUAAGGUUUUGAUUGAAAAUGCACAAAACUCUUUUAACUAAUAUUUUAUUGUCCCUAAGCAAGUUGAGGAACCAGCCUUGGCCUUAAUCAGGGGUGGGAAGUCUAAACCUAUCACAGGAAGAUGAAAGAAACAAUUAGCAAUAACAAUAUAAUAAUCCUCUCAGGUUCCCUGUGUUUGAAAUGCCCCUGCAUGUCUUUCCUCCUGCUCUGUUGACAAGAGCUUUUACUGUUGCCAGCAGGCACAGUCAUCUCACUGGUCUGCAUUUGCUCAGGAUUCUGGCCUCACUUCUGAUAAAGGGCUUAUCAGUGUAUGCCACAAAGAGUAUCUGUUUACAUCUCUCGUGGGCAAGGAUCACUUCUUGGUUUCCCUCUUCCCAGUCCCAAGCACCUCAGAACAUGUUGACAGAAAGAAUGAAGAAAGCGGUUUGUUACUUUAUCAGGCAAGGCAGGAAAAAACAUUUUUCUGUAUAAGCAGAUGUUUGUGACACUACAUCUUUAUUUGUGAGUAGGAGAUGUGAAGACAAGUGAGGAAGGCAGUUUUAACCUUUUUUUUCCACACCACUGAAUGUUUGUGUCAUUUUCUUAUUUUUCCUUCUGUCUGUUGCUAUGUACCAAGAGCAAAGGUACUGUUUACGCAUGUAGCCGUGGGCUAUAAGAAUACUCUAUUCAAAUGAAGACAGAUCAUGUCUUACAACGUUUGUAAAACUUGGCUAUAAAUCAGAGGAUUUAUGAAACAGACAAAACCAUAAAAAUUAUCUCAAUGAAUCACCAGUUUCUUGUUUUGGAAACUUUUUUUUCCUUGAAAAUACUACAAGAAAUCGCUGAGCUGUUCAGUUUUGUCCACAGUGUACUGCAAAUUCAUCUGCAGCAGGUCCUUAUUUAGUGACUCAUUCAGCAAAGGUCCUCAUUCGGUCCCUGUCACUCACUCAGUCCCUGUCACUCCUCCCUGAAGGUCACUGAGCCCUGUGCUUGCCCUGCCCCCAAUAUCCUCCUGCUCUGCUCCAAGGCCCGUUUAAUAUGGAUAAUGUUUGAAUCAGGCACUAUUUAACUUCUCUCCCUGCUUUUUUGUCAUGGUCCCCCAAACAGAGUACAGUCCCUCCCAACAGACAACCCCAGGACUCAUGAUUUCUUGUCUAAUAAAAUUUUGACUUUA
Molecule: long non-coding RNA, 2171 nt
Organism: Psammomys obesus (fat sand rat)
Lineage: Eukaryota; Metazoa; Chordata; Mammalia; Rodentia; Muridae
Exons: 3
Source: RefSeq, a predicted model, not a curated record